GACGAACGCUGGCGGCGUGCUUAACACAUGCAAGUCGAGCGGUGAAGUUUCUUCGGAAAUGGAUUAGCGGCGAACGGGUGAGGAACACGUGAAGAAUCUGCCCUCCACUUCGGGAUAACACCGGGAAACCGGUGCUAAUACUGAAUAUUGAAACAUAAGUGGCAUCACUGAGUUUUGAAAGAAUUUCGGUGGAGGAUGACUUCGCGGCCUAUCAGCUAGUUGGUGAGGUAAUGGCUCACCAAGGCAACGAUGGGUAGCCGGCCUGAGAGGGCGACCGGCCACACUGGGACUGAGACACGGCCCAGACUCCUACGGGAGGCAGCAGUGGGGAAUAUUGGGCAAUGGAGGAAACUCUGACCCAGCGACGCCGCGUGCGGGAUGAAGGCCUUCGGGUUGUAAACCGCUUUCAGUAGGGAAGAAGCGAAAGUGACGGUACCUACAAAAGAAGCACCGGCUAACUAUGUGCCAGCCGCCGCAGUAA
This 481-nucleotide ribosomal RNA is filed under the name uncultured bacterium. RNAcentral describes it as "partial 16S ribosomal RNA". It matches the Rfam family "Bacterial small subunit ribosomal RNA", at positions 28 to 523 of the family's 1533-position model. The record is from RNAcentral.